AAGAUCUUCAAUCUCACCCACCUCAAAUUGACCUGGCUCAAAGUCCAAAGUUCCACAUUGAAGCUGUUCAGAAGCUUGCAGUUUAUGAUUUGUCUCUUUGUCAUCAUCACUCAUGAUAUCAACAUCCUCAUCAGAUGCCUCCUUACUGUUAGAAGAAGCAUCACUUUCACUGUCACUGCUACUCCCACUGGCCACGCUUUUACUUCGGCUUCUACUCUGACUUCCACUAUCGCUUCCACUAUCACUGCUCUCACUAUCACUAGAGCUAGAGCUAGAACUAUUAGCCUGCCCUUCACUUCGAUCAGGUGAAAGAUGGAGGAUAUCAAUGUUUUCAACGGCAUCAGAUGCUUCUUGAGGUUUAGAAUCACUCACUGCCCCCUCUUCCAACUCACCACUAUCAGUUUUUGGAAAUAAGACUGGCUGCGGAGCAGGUAGUUGAUCAAAUUUAUGAGGGGCAGAUGAUGGCUGACAAUGAUCUUCAGGAGAACUUCCACAUUCAAGGGCAGGUUUCGGGAAACUUUCUAUAUCCACUUCCGGUUUCAAGAAGUAUCUUCCUGGAGCUUGGUAUAUCGCAAUCUUUUUUAUAAUGGGCUCAAUUUGUUUGGCUGAGUUCGGGAGCUUGUCUCCAACAGCUUUUUCCAGUGCCUUAAGACUAAUCCCCUUGGACUGGUUCUCCAUAAGUAGAGAAAUCAACAUGCUACGCAGAUCAGUAGACGUUGUGCCUGUAUGACUUUUACGUCCUACUUUAUCUUGUACAGAACUUGUGAUCGCCUUG
This 775-nucleotide unclassified non-coding RNA is filed under the name Hevea brasiliensis (rubber tree). The record is from RNAcentral. Lineage: Eukaryota; Viridiplantae; Streptophyta; Magnoliopsida; Malpighiales; Euphorbiaceae.